GUAGUUUUUAUAGUGAUUUAGAUGAUAACACAAUGUUGACUGCUGUACCCCUAUUUUUUUUACCUUUUUACCUAUUGUGUCUGUUUGUUUUGUUCACGCAUCGGUGACAAUAUAAUGGAAUUUGAUGCGACUGUCAUACAAGUGACAGGUUUAGCUAGCUAUAAAACCAGGUUCAAUCCACCAUUUUCUACAUUUGAAAAUGCCUGUACCAAGUCAGGAAUAUGACAGUUCUUGUCCAUUCGUUUUUUAUGCGUUUUGUUAUUUCAU
RNAcentral lists this long non-coding RNA (267 nucleotides) under Mytilus galloprovincialis (Mediterranean mussel). Lineage: Eukaryota; Metazoa; Mollusca; Bivalvia; Mytilida; Mytilidae. The record is from RNAcentral.